CCUGUCAGCGGAAAAAACAUUUUACAUUACCAUAUGUAACCUAAAUAAAACUAUAAGUAAACCAACAACCCAAAACGUAAUAGAUAUUUUCUAUACAUGACUUGGCGCACCACAUUUGGAAUAUUCAACCAAGAAUUAGUAAAAUUAAACAAGUCGUUCAAAAAAGGGUGCAUACCGAUACCGCUGUUUGAGGUAUCGCUGGUAUCGAAUACCGAGUAUCGCCCUUCACUAUUGACGCUCGGUAUCGUCAUCGGUAUCUCUCGGUGUCGCCCAUCACCACUGACAAACUAGUCAGUAGGAAAUAGGAGUUAAGAAACCGAUUUUGAAUGACAUCAUUUACUAUAUAUUUUUCAAUUUGAAAAUUAAAAGCCAUAAUUCACAUUCUUUUGCAACCAUGUUCGUC
This is a non-coding RNA of Paramuricea clavata, 403 nucleotides long. The record is from the annotation of a GenBank genome assembly. Lineage: Eukaryota; Metazoa; Cnidaria; Anthozoa; Malacalcyonacea; Plexauridae.